Non-coding RNA from Pelobates cultripes (western spadefoot toad), 207 nucleotides. Lineage: Eukaryota; Metazoa; Chordata; Amphibia; Anura; Pelobatidae. The record is from the annotation of a GenBank genome assembly.
CCUGUUAAUCCUAUGGCUUGCAUACCAUUUACAGCAAAAUAUAAAUAAGGGGAUGGAGAGUCUGGAUGCCUAUUGGUGAAAGAAGAAGAGAAGAUCUAGAAUUAAUGGCAUACAAGUACCUGAUUAAAUGUGCACACCCUCAAUGUCAUUAUACAGCAUAAACUGUCAAUGUAGAGAGAAUUACCAGCUAGACAGUCAAAGGGGCAG